This 108-nucleotide ribosomal RNA is filed under the name uncultured bacterium. RNAcentral's name for it is "partial 16S ribosomal RNA". It matches the Rfam family "Bacterial small subunit ribosomal RNA", at positions 355 to 460 of the family's 1533-position model. The record is from RNAcentral.
UGAGGAAUAUUGGUCAAUGGUCGGGGAGACUGAACCAGCCAAGCCGCGUGAGGGAGGAAGGUACAGAGUAUCGUAAACCUCUUUUGUCAGGGAACAAAAGGCGGGGAC